CUGGCGGCGCGCCUAACACAUGCAAGUCGAACGGUUCUGAUUGCGAGACUAAGCUAAUUGGUGGUUCAUAUUGGCGUUGGUCUUGUAAUCAGGAUAGUGGCGGACGGGUGAGUAACACGUGAGCAACCUGCCUAACGGAAUGGGAUAGCGUUUGGAAAUGAACGGUAAUACCGUAUAACAUAUGCAAUGCGCAUGCACAGCAUAUCAAAGGAGCAAUCCGCCGUUAGAUGGGCUCGCGGCCAAUUAGGUAGUUGGCGGGGUAACGGCCCACCGAGCCGACGAUUGGUAGCUGGACUGAGAGGUUGAUCGGCCACAUUGGGACUGAGACACGGCCCAGACUCCUACGGGAGGCAGCAGUGGGGGAUAUUGCACAAUGGAGGAAACUUCUGAUGCAGCGACGCCGCGUGAGGGAAGACGGUCUUCGGAUUGUAAACCUCUGUCUUAGGGGAAGAGUAAAAGACGGUACCCUAGGAGGAAGCCACGGCUAACUACGUGCCAGCCGCUGC
Molecule: ribosomal RNA, 506 nt
Filed under: uncultured bacterium
Lineage: Bacteria
Description: bacterial SSU rRNA
Rfam family: Bacterial small subunit ribosomal RNA
Source: RNAcentral